Molecule: ribosomal RNA, 305 nt
Filed under: uncultured soil bacterium
Lineage: Bacteria
Description: bacterial SSU rRNA
Rfam family: Bacterial small subunit ribosomal RNA
Source: RNAcentral
CAGAUUGAACGCUGGCGGCAGGCCUAACACAUGCAAGUCGAGCGGUAGAGAGGUGCUUGCACCUCUUGAGAGCGGCGGACGGGUGAGUAAUGCCUAGGAAUCUGCCUAGUGGUGGGGGAUAACGUUCGGAAACGGACGCUAAUACCGCAUACGUCCUACGGGAGAAAGCGGGGGACCAGUCGGGCCUCGCGCCAUUAGAUGAGCCUAGGUCGGAUUAGCUAGGUUGGUGAGGUAAUGGCUCACCAAGGCGACGAUCCGUAACUGGUCUGAGGAGGAUGAUCAGUCACACUGGAACUAAGACACGG